CCUACGGGUGGCAGCAGUAGGGAAUAUUGCUCAAUGGGGGAAACCCUGAAGCAGCAACGCCGCGUGGAGGAUGAAGGUUUUCGGAUUGUAAAAUCCUUUUGUUAGAGAAGAUAAUGACGGUAUCUAACGAAUAAGCACCGGCUAACUCCGUGCAGGAAGCCGCGGUAAUACGGGGGGUGCAAGGGUUACCCGGAUUAAUCGGGCGUAAGGAGCGCGUAGGCGGAUUUUUAAGUCAGCGGUAAAAUGUCCGGGCCCAACCCGGGCCGGCCGUUGAAACUGGGGAUCUUGAGUGGGCGAGAAGUAUGCGGAAUGCGUGGUGUAGCGGUGAAAUGCAUAGAUAUCACGCAGAACUCCGAUUGCGAAGGCAGCAUACCGGCGCCCGACUGACGCUGAGGCACGAAAGCGUGGGGAUCGAACAGGAUUAGAUACCCGAGUAGUC
Molecule: ribosomal RNA, 439 nt
Filed under: uncultured bacterium
Lineage: Bacteria
Description: partial 16S ribosomal RNA
Rfam family: Bacterial small subunit ribosomal RNA
Source: RNAcentral